AUUGAACGCUGGCGGCAGGCCUAACACAUGCAAGUCGAACGGUAACAGGAAGCAGCUUGCUGCUUUGCUGACGAGUGGCGGACGGGUGAGUAAUGUCUGGGAAACUGCCCGAUGGAGGGGGAUAACUACUGGAAACGGUAGCUAAUACCGCAUAACGUCGCAAGACCAAAGAGGGGGACCUUAGGGCCUCUUGCCAUCGGAUGUGCCCAGAUGGGAUUAGCUAGUAGGUGGGGGAACGGCUCACCUAGGCGACGAUCCCUAGCUGGUCUGAGAGGAGGACCAGCCACACUGGAACUGAGACACGGUCCAGACUCCUACGGGAGGCAGCAGUGGGGAAUAUUGCACAAUGGGCGCAAGCCUGAUGCAGCCAUGCCGCGUGUAUGAAGAAGGCCUUCGGGUUGUAAAGUACUUUCAGCGGGGAGGAAGGGAGUAAAGUUAAUACCUUUACUCAUUGACGUUACCCGAAGAAGAAGCACCGGCUAACUCCGUG
Molecule: ribosomal RNA, 490 nt
Filed under: uncultured bacterium
Lineage: Bacteria
Description: partial 16S ribosomal RNA
Rfam family: Bacterial small subunit ribosomal RNA
Source: RNAcentral